Molecule: small RNA, 708 nt
Filed under: Histoplasma ohiense
Lineage: Eukaryota; Fungi; Ascomycota; Eurotiomycetes; Onygenales; Ajellomycetaceae
Description: hypothetical lncRNA
Source: RNAcentral
CAGAAGAGGUGUAUCACACAUCUAGCAUCAUUAUCAAUAUAUCAACAUUGCUAAGGGCAAGAAUUAAAGAGAAUUACUCACAGAUUUGCAGGAUUUCUCUGCAGAGGCACAAGCCUCACAAUGCUUCUGAGUAUUUGACCUCAGCACACAUCAAAAAUUGACAUCUUCAAGUCUGAGGGCACAAUGUUCACACAGAAUCUGACUGUUGUGUGUCAUGUGAUUAGGGCUAGAGCAAUAUAACAAGUGAACAGUGAAUGGUGCUAUACAGAAAUGAGCUAGUGGUGCAUGUGACCACACUAAUAAUGCCACUGGCAAGGAACACCAACAAUAAUAUGUGAUAAGCACCCAAGGAACAACUUACUUAAAAUCAGAGUAAUCAAGAAAGCCCAUUUCAAUAUAAAAAAGAGGGGAGGGAGAAUGAUGAUAUAAAAAAUUUAAAAAUUUAAAAAUUUUUUGGAGAUGAAAAAUCACAGCAGAAAGGCAAGGAGCUUUGAUGAUGAUCAAGUUAAAAAAGAAGAGAAAUCUUCAAGAAGAAAGAAAUUCUUUUUACUUCUCUGCACACAACUUCUGACAACCAAAGAAUCCAUCAAUUUCACCUCAUUAGAAAAUCAAUAACAAUGUGUAUACAAGCUAUCUAGAGGAUGCAAUUGAUAUACUGCUAUCAACAAACAGAACUUACAAUACAGAAAUGCAAUUAUCUACUAGCAA